RNAcentral lists this unclassified non-coding RNA (358 nucleotides) under Hevea brasiliensis (rubber tree). Lineage: Eukaryota; Viridiplantae; Streptophyta; Magnoliopsida; Malpighiales; Euphorbiaceae. The record is from RNAcentral.
AUCUAUCAAAAGCAUUGAAUGUGCCAUCAUUGACAAGGCCUUCGAGGAAGGGUGGAUGGUGCCACGACCACCCCUCAGGAGAACUGGGUAUGUUUUUUCUUUUGCUAAGCAAUAUAACUACAGCCCUUUAAUAUCUUUCAGCAUAGCAUCUCUUAUACAAUUAUGAUAUCUUCGAUGUCCCUGUUAUUGUUUGGAAAAUAAGUUUUUUUCUGGGCCAACAUUGACUGCAAUGGACAUAUUUAUUAGUUACCCCAUGGAAAUGUCUCAAAUUUUUCAGAUUUUUUCCCCAGAUGUUUGGGCUUGAAAUAAUGCAGCUGCUUUUGCUCACAGGAAAAGAGUUGCUAUUGUUGGAAGUGGA